UGGUGGAGUGAUUUGUCUGGUUAAUUCCGAUAACGAACGAGACCUCAACCAGUUAAAUAGUAGCGUUCUCCAUCUAUAUGAGUGAAGAUGGUGGGGUUGGUAUGGAACCUGGCAACGGGUGAAGUACACUCGCCUUUGGAUCUUUGAUGCGAUUACGUGCUCCAAAAGAGCGAAUACUUCUUAAAGGGACUUUUCAUGUUUAAUGAACGGAAGUGAGGCAAUAACA
This 226-nucleotide ribosomal RNA is filed under the name uncultured eukaryote. RNAcentral's name for it is "partial 18S ribosomal RNA". It matches the Rfam family "Eukaryotic small subunit ribosomal RNA", at positions 1299 to 1458 of the family's 1831-position model. The record is from RNAcentral.